ACUUCUAGCUUUGGCCAAUAACCAGUCUCAAUCAUCAAAGCAUGCUGAAAUUACCAAAAUGCACGAUAUUGAAAGAUUAGAGAAAGUAAAGCUGUUGGAAACCAGAUAGCUGAACCAGCUUUUAACUACUAUAUGAACAUGAGAAAAUGAGCAUGAGAAAUCAAGGAAACUAAAGGAAUGGAUAGUUGAGAGACACACCUCAAAAAGGAUCUAGAAAAGAGAGUAUCUCAUCCUCUUAUUUUCAUUUCGUCUUCUUUUCAGCUCAAAUUCAUCAUCGAAAAUGUAAGUAGCUCUCUUUUAUUAUAUCGAAAUUAUUCAUGUAAUUCAUCUUUACUUUUUAUUUUUGGUUCUAAUCUUGUUUACUCUAUCUCCUUUGGAUUACUCUUUUUCUUCUGUGAGUUUUCUCUUCUUUUUCUUUAGUUAUUUUUUGAAUUUUUUUGUUUUGAUUGAUGAAUAGUUGCGAUAUUUGGAGUAUGUGAUGUUAUAAACUGAUAUUUCAUGGAAAAAAAAUUUAAAUUAAAA
Molecule: long non-coding RNA, 522 nt
Organism: Gossypium arboreum
Lineage: Eukaryota; Viridiplantae; Streptophyta; Magnoliopsida; Malvales; Malvaceae
Exons: 2
Source: RefSeq, a predicted model, not a curated record